This 306-nucleotide ribosomal RNA is filed under the name uncultured bacterium. Its description in RNAcentral is "bacterial SSU rRNA". It matches the Rfam family "Bacterial small subunit ribosomal RNA", at positions 1047 to 1354 of the family's 1533-position model. The record is from RNAcentral.
GGCUGUCGUCAGCUCGUGCCGUGAGGUGUUGGGUUAAGUCCCGCAACGAGCGCAACCCCUAUGUUUAGUUGCCAGCACGUAAUGGUGGGGACUCUAAACAGACUGCCUGUGCAAACAGAGAGGAAGGAGGGCGACGUCAAGUCAUCAUGGCCCUUACGUCCGGGGCUACACACGUGCUACAAUGGACGGUACAGAGAGCAGCAAGCUGGCAACAGCAAGCAAAUCUCAAAAAGCCGUUCACAGUUCGGAUUGGGGUCUGCGGCUCGACCCCAUGAAGUUGGAUUCGCUAGUAAUCGCAUAUCAGCA